Molecule: transfer RNA, 72 nt
Filed under: Camelus bactrianus (Bactrian camel)
Lineage: Eukaryota; Metazoa; Chordata; Mammalia; Artiodactyla; Camelidae
Also listed under: 2 other names
Rfam family: tRNA
About the family: Transfer RNA (tRNA) molecules are approximately 80 nucleotides in length. Their secondary structure includes four short double-helical elements and three loops (D, anti-codon, and T loops).
Source: Rfam by way of RNAcentral
GAGGGUAUAGCUCAGUGGCAGAGCACGUGCUUAGCAUGCAGGAGGUCCUGGGUUCAAUCCCCAGUACCUCCA